This 335-nucleotide long non-coding RNA is filed under the name Sus scrofa (pig). Its description in RNAcentral is "lncRNA (ENSSSCG00030045306.1)". Lineage: Eukaryota; Metazoa; Chordata; Mammalia; Artiodactyla; Suidae. The record is from RNAcentral.
UUUUAUGAUAAAAACUCUCAAAACCAUACUCAAGGGUUCAUUGCCAUUGAACAAGUCUGGAAAGGGUGGGCAGGACCAAGCUCAUGUGCCCACAGGGCUCUCAGCCUUCCUUACCUCUUCGCCGGACUGGGAAGCAGACACGGCCACACCCAUUACUGAUGCAUAGUCUUCCUUCCCCACAGUCCUGGUCUACACGCACUGAUGUCCACUCCCACAGUCCCUGUCUUCUCUGCACUGGUGCUCGCAGGCCUCUGAUGAGAGGAAAGACUCGGUUAAAAGCUCUGAAGUCUUAUAAUCAGAAAAUAAGGUUUUAAUUGCAUUUACAGUAUCAUUCA